Molecule: ribosomal RNA, 253 nt
Filed under: uncultured bacterium
Lineage: Bacteria
Description: partial 16S ribosomal RNA
Rfam family: Bacterial small subunit ribosomal RNA
Source: RNAcentral
UACGAAGGGGGCUAGCGUUGUUCGGAAUUACUGGGCGUAAAGCGUGCGCAGGCGGUUCGUUGUGUCGGUGGUGAAAUCCCCGGGCUUAACCUGGGAAUGGCCAUGGAAACUGGCGAACUGGAGUGCGGCAGAGGGGGGUGGAAUUCCGCGUGUAGCAGUGAAAUGCGCAGAUAUCAGGAGGAACACCAAUUGCGAAGGCAGCUCGCUGGGACGUUACUGACGCUGAGACGCGGAAGCGUGGGGAGCAAACAGG